This 1294-nucleotide long non-coding RNA is filed under the name Setaria italica (foxtail millet). RNAcentral's name for it is "long non-coding RNA (SITA_LNC004572)". Lineage: Eukaryota; Viridiplantae; Streptophyta; Magnoliopsida; Poales; Poaceae. The record is from RNAcentral.
GGGGAGAUUACAGCUAACAAAUUCAAUUUUCUCUGCCUUGCUGAUAUUUCAUAUGAGUACCUUGCUGUUACCUAAGUCAGUAUAUAAACAAGUGGAUAAAUAUAGAAAGUACUGUUUUUGGAGAGGCUCGGAUAUCAAUAACAAGAAACCGCCUAAAGCUGCAUGGGACAUGUUGACUUUACCAAAAAAGGAAGGUGGUCUAGGUGUUCUGAAUCUGCAGACACAAAAUGAAGCUCUGCUGCUUAAAUUCUUACAUCAAUUUUAUAAUAAAGCAGAUAUCCCGUGGGUCCAUCUAGUAUGGGAAAAAUACUAUGGAAAUGGUAAACUGCCAGGCACUACAUCUAAAGGCUCCUUUUGGUGGCGGGACAUCAUUAAACUCUUGGACAAAUUCAAAGGAAUAGCCUCAGUGUCUGUGAAGGAUGGCAGUACCUGCCUUUUAUGGCAUGAUCUAUGGAAUAAUCAGGUGCCAACACAAGUGUACCCACAUCUGUUUUCUUUUACUCGGGAUAAACACUUAUCUUUGAAGCGAGCUUACUCGAUCACGGACUUGCAGCAUCUCUUCUUCCUGCCCUUGACGCCACAAGCCUAUAAUCAAUUGGUUCAUCUUGCUGAAGACCUAGAAAGUUUAGACCUCUCGCCUGAUCCAGACUCUUGGAUAUAUAUCUGGGGUAAUGCAAUUUUCUCUUCAUCAAAGGCAUAUAAGUCUCUCAUUGGACAUAGAAACACUCAUCCAGUAUAUGAUUGGCUAUGGAAGUCCCGGUGUCAAAAGAAACACAAAGUCUUCUUUUGGUUGGUUUUGAAAGAUAGACUUAGUACACGGGAUAUCAUGCGGCGCAAACAUAUGGUUAUGCCCUCAUAUAACUGUGUCCUCUGCUCCCACAACAAAAUUGAGACACUCAUCCAUCUCCUGCUUGAAUGCUCUUUUGCUCAAGAAUGUUGGAUUCAUCUAGGCCUUUAUGCCGACUUACAGCUGGACCCUUAUUCCAUUUUGACUUCCUUCAAAACCCAGCUUCAGGUUCCUUUCUUCAUGGAAAUAAUCAUAAUCAUGAGCUGGUGCAUAUGGAUGACAAGAAAUGAUUUAAUCUUCCGAGGCAUACCACCAACAACGCAAGGGGCCAUCUUGCGGUUUAAGUCUACCUAUGCCUUAGUCCUGCAUAGAGUUAAAGAGGCCUCCAAACAAUCAAUGGUUGAAUGGCUAGAGCUUAUGUUGUAAUCUUCAUGAUUUUCUUUUUAACCUUCUUUGUUUCUUAGAUACAAACUGGUUUGCUCAUUGUAAUCCCUUUAUUUCUUUUUU